GCAUUAUCAUACCUACAACUCUCUCCACAUAUGGGUCAUGAAGACCUACAUCAGGUGUGCCUAAGGCUGCUUUUCUCCCACACCCUUUCAGGUGUGGUUUCCCACCUUGCCUUAGUAAAUACAUGAAUGAAAGGUACUAAGGACACAGACUCUCUCUUUCAGACUACACAUGCUUAAACCGGUGCCUGAGUUUUUUGGGGGAAAAAAAUCUGUUUUGUUUAUUGAGGUAUAGAGCUUUUCAGAAAGCAGGAGUGUGGUGUCUCCUAGACCUCAUGGAUUCCCUAUUUUUUCCUCGGUUUCUACUUAUAGCAUUCACACUUCCUGCUACAGGAGACUAACUGCAGCAAAAUGUUUUCAGUCUGCCAGAAGGAUCGCUUAUAAGAUCUUCAGAAGCAGUCAGGCUCUCAGCUGUGCCUCUACUCAUCUAAACCCUUCAGAUGGGCACUACUGACACCUACCUCUGCCACUGAACCCAGUGGGUGCCUUGACUGAUGAAAAAACUCCUAAUGGAAUUCACUGUCCACCAUGAAUGAAGUGAUUGGGGUUGCAGCUCAAGCGAGAAGACCUUGCAAAUAGGCACCUUGCUAGUAAGACCCGAUCUCCCACUUAUGACAUGUACUGAAUCAGGAUAAGUUAAAGGUCAGAGCCCUCAGACACAAUUUGGACUGCUUAGGUGUGUUUGCAACCUCUGUUGUGAUGUGAGCUUUGCCCUCUGUAUUAAAGGGGAUUUCCCUAAAUGUCAGGUUUGGGGUUGAUCUCUCUUACUGAAUAGCAACAGGAUAAUGCCACUGCAUUUAAGUGGUGAGGCUUGAUGAGCAGGGUAUAAACCUGACUCCCUAGACCACUGGUUCAUAAACCGUAGUAUGUUGGAGACUCUGUGCCCUACCUAACUGUUCAGCUAUCAAAAAUGAGGAAACUAACACAAAAUGAGGAAACUCAAAAUACUUGGUAGGGCACUGACAUGAAAUCCUAUACUCAUAUCCCUGCUCUGAAUCAUGCUGGCCAUAUUUAGUAAACCUAGGACUCCUACUCCCCUAGUGAAUAAUCCAAACUGGAAGGCAAAUGCGUGUUUUUAGAAGUGGAGAUGGAGACAUUCUGGCUGCUAGCAGGGACCCUUAAUACCUGGGAAAGGACUCAACCUUUGCUUCAAGCAUGAUCCGUCUACAAAAGAUGGAUUAUUAAGGCAAACUGCUAGUAUGUGGAUGAUUCACUUGAUUUAUGAGGAAGAAAAUGGAUUAAAGGAGAUCUUUGAAAACUAAGUUUUGUGCAUCAGGUUGGACUAUGCAACAAAAGAUUAUUGAGAAAAAUAUUUCUCACCAAUGUAUUGUUAAGGAAACAUUGUGAUUUCAUAGGUAGAAUCCAUUUAAUCUUUUUGACUGCAGCCAAAAAUAUAAUCCUCCCUGGAUAAGAUGCUUAAGAGGUGCUGAGCAGUUUCAAAUCCUACAACUAUU
This 1451-nucleotide long non-coding RNA is filed under the name Anas platyrhynchos platyrhynchos (common mallard). RNAcentral's name for it is "lncRNA (ENSAPLG00000029325.1)". Lineage: Eukaryota; Metazoa; Chordata; Aves; Anseriformes; Anatidae. The record is from RNAcentral.